UCAGAUUGAACGCUGGCNNCAUGCCUUACACAUGCAAGUCGAACGGCAGCACGGGGGCAACCCUGGUGGCGAGUGGCGAACGGGUGAGUAAUACAUCGGAACGUGUCCUGUAGUGGGGGAUAGCCCGGCGAAAGCCGGAUUAAUACCGCAUACGCUCUACGGAGGAAAGGGGGGGAUCUUAGGACCUCCCGCUACAGGGGCGGCCGAUGGCAGAUUAGCUAGUUGGUGGGGUAAAGGCCUACCAAGGCGACGAUCUGUAGCUGGUCUGAGAGGACGACCAGCCACACUGGGACUGAGACACGGCCCAGACUCCUACGGGAGGCAGCAGUGGGGAAUUUUGGACAAUGGGGGCAACCCUGAUCCAGCAAUGCCGCGUGUGUGAAGAAGGCCUUCGGGUUGUAAAGCACUUUUGUCCGGAAAGAAAACGCCGUGGUUAAUACCCGUGGCGGAUGACGGUACCGGAAGAAUAAGCACCGGCUAACUACGUGCCAGCAGCCGCGGUAAUACGUAGGGUGCAAGCGUUAAUCGGAAUUACUGGGCGUAAAGCGUGCGCAGGCGGUCCGCUAAGACAGAUGUGAAAUCCCCGGGCUUAACCUGGGAACUGCAUUUGUGACUGGCGGGCUAGAGUAUGGCAGAGGGGGGUAGAAUUCCACGUGUAGCAGUGAAAUGCGUAGAGAUGUGGAGGAAUACCGAUGGCGAAGGCAGCCCCCUGGGCCAAUACUGAC
RNAcentral lists this ribosomal RNA (725 nucleotides) under Burkholderia sp. L1921. RNAcentral describes it as "bacterial SSU rRNA". It matches the Rfam family "Bacterial small subunit ribosomal RNA", at positions 24 to 744 of the family's 1533-position model. Lineage: Bacteria; Pseudomonadati; Pseudomonadota; Betaproteobacteria; Burkholderiales; Burkholderiaceae. The record is from RNAcentral.